CUGGUUUUAGGUGUUGGGCUUGGCUCGACGCGAUGGGGUGCGAGGGCCCUCAUAUCGCUGCUUGCAGCUUUAAUUAUUAUUAUUAUUAUUAUUAUUAUUAUUUCGGCAAAUGAAUCGGCCUUUUGAGGGCCUAAACAUGCUCGAAAACUCAUGAAAUUUUGCACACGCGUCAGGUCUGGUGAAAAUUUACGUAUUUUAAUGUCCGUAGACAUGUCCAGGGAAAAUUGGCUCAGUAGCGCCACCUAGAAAAAUGAGAAACGCGAGCCUCCGAGAUGGGUAUGACCUACAUGUAUAAAACUCGGAACACAUAUCUAACGUUCGGAGACGCACAUAAAAGUCUAUUAUGGCCAUGUCCUAAGCCCAACAGGAAGUCCGCCAUUUGGAAGUGAAGGUGACAUUUUGGCUCUAAUUUUGCCAUUUCCAUGCCUCGAACUUUUGCGAACUCCUCAUUGGAAUUUCA
This is a long non-coding RNA of Oreochromis aureus, 460 nucleotides long. The record is from Ensembl. NCBI's taxonomy places the organism in Eukaryota, Metazoa, Chordata, Actinopteri, Cichliformes, Cichlidae.